This 253-nucleotide ribosomal RNA is filed under the name uncultured bacterium. RNAcentral's name for it is "partial 16S ribosomal RNA". It matches the Rfam family "Bacterial small subunit ribosomal RNA", at positions 524 to 776 of the family's 1533-position model. The record is from RNAcentral.
UACGUAGGGACCAAGCGUUGUUCGGAUUUACUGGGCGUAAAGGGCGCGUAGGCGGCAAUUCAAGUCAGUUGUGAAAUCUCCGGGCUUAACUCGGAAAGGUCAACUGAUACUGUGCGACUAGAGUGCGGAAGGGGCAACUGGAAUUCUCGGUGUAGCGGUGAAAUGCGUAGAUAUCGAGAGGAACACCUGCGGCGAAGGCGGGUUGCUGGGCCGACACUGACGCUGAUGCGCGAAAGCCAGGGGAGCGAACGGG